GGUUUUGUAUGCACUAGUAUUACUCUGUUUAGCUUGAGGUUUGAAGCUCUAGUAUGCUUAGAGUGACCGGUUUCAUUAGUCUCUUAAUCGACAAGUGAACUGGACUAUUUUACUGUAUUUCCGUCAUACUCCUUUCAUUUAUUUAGUGACUGCAGACUGGGAAAAUGCCAUGUGUACCUUAAUCCUUGUGGUUCUCAUUUGUUCCCGGUUUGGUGAGCUUGCCCUAAGGUCUGUGGAUGCGUGCAGGGACUAUGCCCAUGGUGGUGAGGGACUACUACGACGUGCUCGGCGUGAAGAAGGACGCUGACCAGGGUGAGAUCAAGAAGGCGUAUUACGCGUGAGAAAACAUGGCACCAUCCAUGAGUCUUGCAGCGAAAGGUCCGCUCCCCUUUGGAGCGCUCCCCUCAAGCGGCGUCGUGCAGAGGCCGGUGUCAGUGACCGCCUCACUGGAGCACAAGAGUGAUUAUAAGAGGAAGCUCCUGAAGUGGUUGCCUCCCUGGCUUACUGCUGCUGCUGGUUGCUUCGCCGUCCCCUUCCCCUACAGUGCUAUAUUGCAUCACUGAUCUGCACUGUUUGGUGUGUCUCAUUCCUAGUAUUGUUAUGUUCAACCACAUUGCCAGUGUUCAGAAAUAACACCUACUCACUAUGCAAAUGCAUGCAACAUAAUCUGAAAUUCAUUCAGUUUGACUGUGUGUAAACACUAUAGUGUACAACUAUCAACUUGUUUCACUAUUCAGUUUGUCACCAUUCAACUUUCUUAGUGGGGCAUCUUUCUUG
Molecule: long non-coding RNA, 777 nt
Organism: Triticum aestivum (bread wheat)
Lineage: Eukaryota; Viridiplantae; Streptophyta; Magnoliopsida; Poales; Poaceae
Exons: 2
Source: RefSeq, a predicted model, not a curated record